GAUGAACGCUGGCGGCGUGCCUAAUACAUGCAAGUCGAGCGAACGGACGAGAAGCUUGCUUUUCUGAUGUUAGCGGCGGACGGGUGAGUAACACGUGGAUAACCUACCUAUAAGACUGGGAUAACUUCGGGAAACCGGAGCUAAUACCGGAUAAUAUUUUGAACCGCAUGGUUCAAAAGUGAAAGACGGUCUUGCUGUCACUUAUAGAUGGAUCCGCGCUGCAUUAGCUAGUUGGUAAGGUAACGGCUUACCAAGGCGACGAUGCGUAGCCGACCUGAGAGGGUGAUCGGCCACACUGGAACUGAGACACGGUCCAGACUCCUACGGGAGGCAGCAGUAGGGAAUCUUCCGCAAUGGGCGAAAGCCUGACGGAGCAACGCCGCGUGAGUGAUGAAGGUCUUCGGAUCGUAAAACUCUGUUAUUAGGGAAGAACAUAUGUGUAAGUAACUGUGCACAUCUUGACGGUACCUAAUCAGAAAGCCACGGCUAACUACGUG
RNAcentral lists this ribosomal RNA (497 nucleotides) under uncultured bacterium. RNAcentral's name for it is "partial 16S ribosomal RNA". It matches the Rfam family "Bacterial small subunit ribosomal RNA", at positions 28 to 507 of the family's 1533-position model. The record is from RNAcentral.